CCUCUUUGCUUGCAGCAGACGUAUGUCAAGGUACGGAGGUCGAGCGCGGGACGAUGGCACCACUCGAGAAGCCGCACCUAUAUCGCCAUUCUCCAAGAAAUGCUCCUGUUUGGCACUGGUGAUGGUGCCUUGCGGUUUGAGUCCAGACUUGCCGCCCGGUCCCAACAUCGCGGAGUCACCCAGUACAAGACGUCGGUGAUUAUUUGAAUCACUGCAACAUAACACAACAGUGUUAAAAUUAUGCAAAAAUAUAGAAAUGUUUGUUUC
This is a long non-coding RNA of Pectinophora gossypiella (pink bollworm), 267 nucleotides long. RefSeq lists it as uncharacterized. The record is from RefSeq and is a predicted model, not a curated record. Lineage: Eukaryota; Metazoa; Arthropoda; Insecta; Lepidoptera; Gelechiidae. The transcript has 2 exons.